This 497-nucleotide ribosomal RNA is filed under the name uncultured bacterium. RNAcentral describes it as "partial 16S ribosomal RNA". It matches the Rfam family "Bacterial small subunit ribosomal RNA", at positions 28 to 507 of the family's 1533-position model. The record is from RNAcentral.
GACGAACGCUGGCGGCGUGCCUAAUACAUGCAAGUAGAACGCUGAAGCUUGGUGCUUGCACCGAGCGGAUGAGUUGCGAACGGGUGAGUAACGCGUAGGUAACCUGCCUGGUAGCGGGGGAUAACUAUUGGAAACGAUAGCUAAUACCGCAUAAGAGUAGAUGUUGCAUGACAUUUGCUUAAAAGGUGCAAUUGCAUCACUACCAGAUGGACCUGCGUUGUAUUAGCUAGUUGGUGAGGUAACGGCUCACCAAGGCAACGAUACAUAGCCGACCUGAGAGGGUGAUCGGCCACACUGGGACUGAGACACGGCCCAGACUCCUACGGGAGGCAGCAGUAGGGAAUCUUCGGCAAUGGACGGAAGUCUGACCGAGCAACGCCGCGUGAGUGAAGAAGGUUUUCGGAUCGUAAAGCUCUGUUGUAAGAGAAGAAGGAGUGUGAGAGUGGAAAGUUCACACUGUGACGGUAUCUUACCAGAAAGGGACGGCUAACUACGUG